RNAcentral lists this ribosomal RNA (423 nucleotides) under uncultured bacterium. RNAcentral's name for it is "bacterial SSU rRNA". It matches the Rfam family "Bacterial small subunit ribosomal RNA", at positions 508 to 929 of the family's 1533-position model. The record is from RNAcentral.
GCAGCCGCCGCGGUAAUACGUAGGGGGCGAGCGUUGUCCGGAAUCACUGGGCGUAAAGGGUCGGUAGGCGGCGGGUUAAGUCUCACGUUAAAGCUCCGGGCUCAACUCGGGAAAGGCGUGGGAGACUGGCUCGCUUGAGGCCAGCAGAGGUGAGCGGAACGGUGCAAGUAGCGGUGAAACGCAUUGAUAUGCACCGGAACACCAAUGGCGAAGGCAGCUCGCUGGGCUGGUCCUGACGCUGAGCGACGAAAGCCAGGGGAGCGAACGGGAUUAGAUACCCCGGUAGUCCUGGCUGUAAACGAUGGGUACUGGGCGUCGGGGGUAUCGACCCCCUCGGUGCCGCAGCUAACGCGUUAAGUACCCCGCCUGGGGAGUACGGCCGCAAGGUUGAAACUCAAAGGAAUUGACGGGGGCCCGCACAAG